RNAcentral lists this ribosomal RNA (466 nucleotides) under uncultured bacterium. RNAcentral describes it as "partial 16S ribosomal RNA". It matches the Rfam family "Bacterial small subunit ribosomal RNA", at positions 28 to 507 of the family's 1533-position model. The record is from RNAcentral.
GACGAACGCUGGCGGCGUGCUUAACACAUGCAAGUCGAACGGACAGGCCUCUUUCUUGGUGUACUCGAGUGUCCAACGGAUGAGUAACUCGUGAGUAACCUGCCCAUGUCUUUGGGAUAACUUACUUAAACUUAGGGUAAUUCCGGACAGGAGCUCCUUUUGCAUGGAUGGUGUUAGACAGUUUAGGCGGUUUGGGGUGGAUUCUCUGCUUAUCAGCUUGUUGGUAGGUUAGUGGCUUACGAAGGCUUUGACGGGUCGCCGGCAUGAGAGGGUCAACGGCCACAUUGGGCCUGCGAUACGGACCAGAAUCCUACGGGAGGCAGCAGUGGGGAAAAUUGCGGAACGGGUGGAAGCGUGAUGUAGAAACGCCGUGUGCGGGAUGAGGGGCUACGCGUUGAAAACCGCUUUGGCCUGUGACGAAGAGUGAGUGACGGUAAUGAGUAAAGAAGCCACGGCUAACUACGUG